Molecule: ribosomal RNA, 467 nt
Filed under: uncultured bacterium
Lineage: Bacteria
Description: partial 16S ribosomal RNA
Rfam family: Bacterial small subunit ribosomal RNA
Source: RNAcentral
GACGAACGCUGGCGGCGUGCUUAACACAUGCAAGUCGAACGGAAAGGCCCUGCUUUUGUGGGGUGCUCGAGUGGCGAACGGGUGAGUAACACGUGAGUAACCUGCCCUUGACUUUGGGAUAACUUCAGGAAACUGGGGCUAAUACCGGAUAGGAGCUCCUGCUGCAUGGUGGGGGUUGGAAAGUUUCGGCGGUUGGGGAUGGACUCGCGGCUUAUCAGCUUGUUGGUGGGGUAGUGGCUUACCAAGGCUUUGACGGGUAGCCGGCCUGAGAGGGUGACCGGCCACAUUGGGACUGAGAUACGGCCCAGACUCCUACGGGAGGCAGCAGUGGGGAAUAUUGCACAAUGGGCGGAAGCCUGAUGCAGCAACGCCGCGUGCGGGAUGACGGCCUUCGGGUUGUAAACCGCUUUCGCCUGUGACGAAGCGUGAGUGACGGGAAUGGGUAAAGAAGCACCGGCGAACUACGU